Peromyscus eremicus (cactus mouse) is the source of this 113-nucleotide small nucleolar RNA. RefSeq annotates it as U8 small nucleolar RNA. Lineage: Eukaryota; Metazoa; Chordata; Mammalia; Rodentia; Cricetidae. The transcript has a single exon. The record is from RefSeq and is a predicted model, not a curated record.
UCCUCAGCUAGGCAAGUCCUUACCCGUCUCUCCUUUUGGAGGGCAGACAGAGAAUGAUUACUGGAGGUUUUGUGUAACCAGAACCUAUGGCGUCUUGAUUGUUUCUAUCUGUG